GAGAAAGGGAGUACAGUUGAUAUUCUGUAACUGACAACAGUUCGCGGCAACGCAUACUAUUUUUCUCCGCCAAUCUUAUACCGUUGGUAGGGAUCUCUUUCCUACAUGACAGUACUAAUACCCAGGGAAACUGGUCAUCAGGCGAACUGCGGCGUUCUGCUGGCAAAACAUAGCUUCGGUUAUGUCAAUGGCUAUUGGAUUGGUCCAUGAAGCGAAAAAUAGUUUACUGUGUCACUCGUACCGAUAACCGCAUCAGGUCUUCUAGGUAAGUAGCCUAUGGCCAUUGAGGCAUGAUAGUUCAGGGAAUUCGGCCAAUUAGAGCUGUAACUUCGGGAUAAAGCUUGGCUCUGAUGAAAAUCAGAACCGAUUGUUACGCGGAGAGCCCAACUGUUUAAUAAAAACGUAGUGUCGCGCUGUGGUAGUAUAGCCAGUGAACGCGACAUGAAUCCUGCUCAGUGCUGUGUCUGUUAAUAUGGUUCAAGCCAACGAAGCACCGGUAAAUAGCUGGGGUAACUAUGACUCUUAUCAAAGUAGCGAAAUACCUCGUCACUUAAUUAGUGACCUGCAUGAACGGAGCUAUGAGGUUCUCACUGUCCCAAACUGUCUCUCAGCGAACCAACUGUAGUGGGAACGGUCACUAGAUAUCCAGCGGGCAAAGAAGACCCUGUAGAGCUUCACUUUGGUCUAGUCUUGUAUAGUUCCUGCGGGGGUGUAGACUAGGUGGGAGAGCAAUCGAUUCUGAAAAACCACUACCCUGUUUGGAAUUAUGCUUACCUAUCACAAGGAAUAGGACUAGAUAGAA
Molecule: non-coding RNA, 802 nt
Filed under: Trichomonas vaginalis G3
Lineage: Eukaryota; Parabasalia; Trichomonadida; Trichomonadidae
Description: Eukaryotic large subunit ribosomal RNA
Rfam family: Eukaryotic large subunit ribosomal RNA
Source: Rfam by way of RNAcentral